UACGGCCGCAAGGCUGAAACUUAAAGGAAUUGGCGGGGGAGCACCACCAGGCGUGAAGCCUGCGGUUUAAUUGGAGUCAACGCCGGGAAUCUUACCGGGAGCGACAGCAGAAUGAAGGCCAGGUUGAAGGUCUUGCUGGACGAGCUGAGAGGUGGUGCAUGGCCGUCGCCAGUUCGUGCCGUGAGGUGUCCUCUUAAGUGAGGUAACGAACGAGACCCGUGCCCCAUGUUGCUAACAGUAUUUAUAGAAUAGCUGAGCACUCUUGGGGGACCGCAGCCGACAAGGCUGAGGAAGGUGCGGGCCACGGCAGGUCAGUAUGCCCCGAAUCUCCCGGGCCACACGCGGGCUGCAAUGGUAGUGACAGAGGGCUGCGACCCCGAGAGGGGGAGCCAAUCCCUAAACACUAUCUCAGUUGGGAUCGAGGGCUGCAACCCGCCCUCGUGAACAUGGAAUGCCUAGUAACCGCCGGUCAUCAUCCGGCGGUGAAUACGUCCCUGCUCCUUGCACACACUGCCCGUCGAACCACCCGAAUGAGGUUUUGAUGAGGCAUGGUCGAAAGUUGGCCGUGUCGAAUCUGGGCCUUGUAAGGAGGGUUAAGUCGUAACAAGGUGGCCGUAGGGGAACCUGCGGCCG
RNAcentral lists this ribosomal RNA (633 nucleotides) under marine metagenome. RNAcentral's name for it is "bacterial SSU rRNA". It matches the Rfam family "Archaeal small subunit ribosomal RNA", at positions 836 to 1467 of the family's 1478-position model. The record is from RNAcentral.